Molecule: ribosomal RNA, 253 nt
Filed under: uncultured bacterium
Lineage: Bacteria
Description: partial 16S ribosomal RNA
Rfam family: Bacterial small subunit ribosomal RNA
Source: RNAcentral
UACGAAGGGUGCAAGCGUUGUUCGGAUUUAUUGGGCGUAAAGGGCGCGUAGGCGGUCACGCACGUCCGUUGUGAAAUCGCUCGGCUCAACUGGGCGGGGUCAGCGGAUACGGUGUGACUGGAGCAAGCUAGGGGGCAAUGGAAUUCCCGGUGUAGUGGUGGAAUGCGUAGAUAUCGGGAGGAACACCAGUGGCGAAGGCGGUUGCCUGGAGCUUUGCUGACGCUGAUGCGCGAAAGCGUGGGGAGCGAUCCGG